UACGGAGGGGGCUAGCGUUGUCCGAAGUUACUGGGCGUAAAGAGCGUGUAGGCGGCCAGGUAGGUCCGUUGUGAAAACUCGAGGCUCAACCUCGAGACGCCGAUGGAAACCAUCUGGCUAGAGUCCGGAAGAGGAGAGUGGAAUUCCUGGUGUAGCGGUGAAAUGCGCAGAUAUCAGGAAGAACACCCGUGGCUAAGGCGGCUCUCUAGUACGGUACUGACGCUGAGACGCGAAAGCGUGGGGAGCGAACAGG
This 253-nucleotide ribosomal RNA is filed under the name uncultured bacterium. Its description in RNAcentral is "partial 16S ribosomal RNA". It matches the Rfam family "Bacterial small subunit ribosomal RNA", at positions 524 to 776 of the family's 1533-position model. The record is from RNAcentral.